This 432-nucleotide ribosomal RNA is filed under the name uncultured Prevotella sp. RNAcentral's name for it is "bacterial SSU rRNA". It matches the Rfam family "Bacterial small subunit ribosomal RNA", at positions 355 to 784 of the family's 1533-position model. Lineage: Bacteria; Pseudomonadati; Bacteroidota; Bacteroidia; Bacteroidales; Prevotellaceae. The record is from RNAcentral.
UGAGGAAUAUUGGUCAAUGGACGUAAGUCUGAACCAGCCAAGUAGCGUGCAGGAUGACGGCCCUAUGGGUUGUAAACUGCUUUUAUGCGGGGAUAAAGUGAGGGAUGCAUCCCUUUUUGUAGGUACCGCAUGAAUAAGGACCGGCUAAUUCCGUGCCAGCAGCCGCGGUAAUACGGAAGGUCCGGGCGUUAUCCGGAUUUAUUGGGUUUAAAGGGAGCGUAGGCCGUCGUUUAAGCGUGUUGUGAAAUGCCGCGGCUCAACCGUGGCACUGCAGCGCGAACUGGGGGGCUUGACUGCACGCAACGCAGGCGGAAUUCGUGGUGUAGCGGUGAAAUGCUUAGAUAUCACGAAGAACUCCGAUUGCGAAGGCAGCUUGCGGGAGUGCGACUGACGCUGAAGCUCGAAGGUGCGGGUAUCGAACAGGAUUAGAUA